CAACAGGUAUUCCCUCAGUAACGGCGAGUGAAGUGGGAACAGCUCAAGCCGUCAAUCUCCGACCUGCGGUCGGCGAAUUGUAGUCUGGAGAAGUGUCGUCCGCGCGACGCACGGCGGUCUAAGUUGCUUGGAACGGCACAUCGCAGAGGGUGAGAAUCCCGUCCUGGACCGUCGUGCACGCGCCACGAGGCACUUUCGAAGAGUCGGGUUGUUUGGGAAUGCAGCCCAAAGCGGGUGGUAAACUCCACCUAAGGCUAAAUACGGGCACGAGACCGAUAGCGAACAAGUACCGUGAGGGAAAGAUGAAAAGCACUUUGAAAAGAGAGUUAAAGAGUACGUGAAACCGUUGGAGGGGAAGCGAAUGCGGCCAGCAAUGCCUCGGCGUAGAUUCAGCGGGGCCGGCGGGCGAGUCGGACGUCGUCGGAUUCGAAGGAACCGCGUCGCCCGUCUCUCGCCUUCCCGUCGUUGCGCAUUUCUACCCGAAGCGAGCCAGCGCCGGUGGGAGGUCGCGUGGUGGCGGCAUCGUGAGGUGGCGGAGCCCUUUCGGGGCCCCGCGUUAUAGACGACGUCGUCGACGCGUCGUUCCACCGAGGAGACGGAAUGACGGCGGCAGCGCACGCCGUUUCGGCUAGACGGGGCUCGUGCGUUGCGGCGCCUCCGUGCGGACUGCCCGCAGUGCGCGUGGAGGUCGCCGUUGCGAGCGCGCUCGCGGUCUUAGGUGCGCUGAGGGCGCUGGCGUAGAAAUGGCCUCAUCCGACCCGUCUUGAAACACGGACCAAGGAGUCUAGCGUGCGUGCGAGUCCGUGGGUGUAGAAACCCCGGGGCGCAAUGAAAGUGAUCGCUGGGGUGAGAGCCGUGGCCUCUUGCGGCUGCGGCGCAUCAUCGGCCGACCUCGUCUG
RNAcentral lists this ribosomal RNA (899 nucleotides) under Plakortis sp. 2 JV-2014. RNAcentral's name for it is "eukaryotic LSU rRNA". It matches the Rfam family "Eukaryotic large subunit ribosomal RNA", at positions 66 to 777 of the family's 3401-position model. RNAcentral also lists the same sequence under 1 other name. The record is from RNAcentral. Lineage: Eukaryota; Metazoa; Porifera; Homoscleromorpha; Homosclerophorida; Plakinidae.